RNAcentral lists this signal recognition particle RNA (290 nucleotides) under Vombatus ursinus (common wombat). Its description in RNAcentral is "Metazoan signal recognition particle RNA (ENSVURG00010000547.1)". It matches the Rfam family "Metazoan signal recognition particle RNA". Rfam says of the family: The signal recognition particle (SRP) is a universally conserved ribonucleoprotein. Lineage: Eukaryota; Metazoa; Chordata; Mammalia; Diprotodontia; Vombatidae. The record is from RNAcentral.
GGGCAUAGUGGGGCAUGCCUGUAAUCUCUCCUGCUGUGGAGGCUGAGACUGGCAGUUCUCUUGAGGUCAGGAGUUCUGAGCUGCAGUGGGCUAAGGCGAUCAGGUAUCUUUGGUAAGUCCUGCAUUAACAGGAUGAGUUCCCAGGAGAGGAGUACUACCAGGUUUUGUAAAGAGGGGCAAACUGGCCCAGGAAGGAAAAAGAACAAGAUGAAGCUCCUGUGUCAGUCAGUGGGAUCAAGCUUGUGAGUAGCCCCUGCAUUUCCAGCCUAGGUGAGAUAGGGAGACCCAAA